AAAGUUGAUCAGGAGGAAAUCGUCUCCCACAUCCUUGCCGGACUUGAUGAGAAGUUUGACCGAGUGGUCUCGGCCAUGUGCUCCAGGGUCGAGCCGGUCACGGUUCUGAAGCUGUACUCACAAUUGCUGAGCUUUGAGA
This is a non-coding RNA of Hordeum vulgare subsp. vulgare (domesticated barley), 139 nucleotides long. The record is from Rfam. NCBI's taxonomy places the organism in Eukaryota, Viridiplantae, Streptophyta, Magnoliopsida, Poales, Poaceae.